GACGAACGCUGGCGGCGUGCUUAACACAUGCAAGUCGAACGGAAAGGCCCUGCUAUUGUGGCGUGCUCGGGUGGCGACCGGGUGAGUACCCCGUGGGUAACCUGCCCCUGACUUUGGGAUACCUCCAGGAACCUGGGGCUAAUGCCGGAUAGGAGCUCCUGCUGCAUGGUGGGGGUUGGAAAGUUUCGGCGGUUGGGGGUGGACUCGCGGCUUAUCAGCCUGUUGGUGGGGUAGGGGCAUACCAAGGCGUUGGCGGGUAGCCGGCCUGAGGGGGGGACCGGCCACGUUGGGGCUGAGAUACGGCCGAGACGCCUACGGGAGGCAGCAGGGGGGAAGAUUGCACAACGGGCGGAGGCAUGAUGCAGGAGCGCCGCGUGGGGGAUGACGGCCUUCGGGUGGUAAACCACUGACGCCUGUGACGAAGCGGGAAUGACGGUAACGGGUAAAGAAGCACCGGCUAACUACGUG
RNAcentral lists this ribosomal RNA (468 nucleotides) under uncultured bacterium. Its description in RNAcentral is "partial 16S ribosomal RNA". It matches the Rfam family "Bacterial small subunit ribosomal RNA", at positions 28 to 507 of the family's 1533-position model. The record is from RNAcentral.